RNAcentral lists this ribosomal RNA (433 nucleotides) under uncultured bacterium. RNAcentral's name for it is "partial 16S ribosomal RNA". It matches the Rfam family "Bacterial small subunit ribosomal RNA", at positions 29 to 507 of the family's 1533-position model. The record is from RNAcentral.
AACGAACGCUGGCGGCAUGCCUAACACAUGCAAGUCGAACGAGACCUUCGGGUCUAGUGGCGCACGGGGGCGUAACGCGGGGGAACCUGCCCGUAGGUUCGGAAUAACUCCCCGAAAGGGGUGCUAAUACCGGAUAAUGUCUUCGGACCAACGAUUUUUCGCCUUUGGAUGGGCCCGCGUUAGCUUAGCUGGUUGGUAGGGUAAAAGCCUACCAAGGCGACGAUCCAUGGCUGGUCGGAGAGGAUGGUCAGCCACACUGGGACUGCGACCCGGCCCAGACUCCUACGCGAGGCAGCGGUGUGGAAUAUUGUACGCGGGGCGCAAGCCUGGUACCGCCAUGCCGCGUGAGUGGUGCAGGCCUUAGGGUUGUAAAGCUCUUUUAGCCGGGACGAUAAUGACGGUACCGGGUGAAUAAGCUCCGGCUAACUCCGUG